AUGGAGGACAAAGAACGAGCAGCAAAGCGCGCGCGCCCUGGCCUCGGCGCGGCCCCGAGCGGUGCGCGCGGAACAAACCCCGCCCCUCCUCUCAAUCUACACACACCGAAGCCUGGUCGGUUGCAUAAACUGUUUAGACAAGUCUUAGAAAAAUUAUUCAAAGAUGCCAGAAGGCCCAACUGGAUGUCCAUACUUCGUUUUAUCCAUACAAAUCUUGACUUUGGUGAGUACUUUUGGAUUUUAUUUCGAUAAAGAAAAGAUAGCCUAUUUUUUUUUGCAGAUAAUAUGUCUAAACCCAUGACAUAGGUCUCAUAAAGCGAGAGUGAACUGUUACCAUUUAUGUCUGUUGGUAACUUUGAUGACAAGACUAGACGAGAGCUUAGUUAAUGUCCGUUGUUUAGUUUAAUAACAUCCAUAAGAGGGCAAUAUAGUAUCACAAAUGCGUCCGUUUGAUUUAUGUGUAACACUAGAUGGCAGAAAAUUCUC
Molecule: long non-coding RNA, 486 nt
Filed under: Carassius auratus (goldfish)
Lineage: Eukaryota; Metazoa; Chordata; Actinopteri; Cypriniformes; Cyprinidae
Description: lncRNA (ENSCARG00000000822.1)
Source: RNAcentral